RNAcentral lists this ribosomal RNA (395 nucleotides) under uncultured bacterium. RNAcentral describes it as "partial 16S ribosomal RNA". It matches the Rfam family "Bacterial small subunit ribosomal RNA", at positions 523 to 918 of the family's 1533-position model. The record is from RNAcentral.
AUACGUAGGGUGCAAGCGUUAAUCGGAAUUACUGGGCGUAAAGCGUGCGCAGGCGGUUUUGUAAGACAGUGGUGAAAUCCCCGGGCUCAACCUGGGAACUGCCAUUGUGACUGCAAGGCUGGAGUGCGGCAGAGGGGGCUGGAAUUCCGCGUGUAGCAGUGAAAUGCGUAGAUAUGCGGAGGAACACCGAUGGCGAAGGCAAUCCCCUGGGCCUGCACUGACGCUCAUGCACGAAAGCGUGGGGAGCAAACAGGAUUAGAUACCCUGGUAGUCCACGCCCUAAACGAUGUCAACUGGUUGUUGGGGAUUUAUUUUCUCAGUAACGAAGCUAACGCGUGAAGUUGACCGCCUGGGGAGUACGGCCGCAAGGUUAAAACUCAAAGGAAUUGACGGGG